CCUACGGGAGGCAGCAGUAGGGAAUAUUGGGCAAUGGGCGCAAGCCUGACCCAGCAACGCCGCGUGAAGGAAGAAGGCUUUCGGGUUGUAAACUUCUUUUCUGAGGGACGAAGAACGUGACGGUACCUCAGGAAUAAGCCACGGCUAACUACGUGCCAGCAGACGCGGUAAUACGUAGGGGGCAAGCGUUAUCCGGAUUGAUUGGGGGGAAAGGGCGGGUAGGCGGGAAAGCAAGGCAGAUGUGAAAACUCAGGGCUCAACCCUGAGCCUGCAUUUGAAACUGUUUAUCUUGAGUGCUGGAGAGGCAAGCGGAAUUCCGUGUGUAGCGGUGAAAUGCGUAGAUAUACGGAGGAACACCAGUGGCGAAGGCGGAUUGCUGGACAGUAACUGACGCUGAGGCGCGAAAGCGUGGGGAGCAAACAGGAUUAGAUACCCGUGUAGUC
RNAcentral lists this ribosomal RNA (443 nucleotides) under uncultured bacterium. Its description in RNAcentral is "partial 16S ribosomal RNA". It matches the Rfam family "Bacterial small subunit ribosomal RNA", at positions 338 to 795 of the family's 1533-position model. The record is from RNAcentral.